GCUCAGAAGGAACGCUGGCAGCGUGCAUAACACAUGCAAGUCGAACGAUGAAGCAUUCUUCGGAAUGUGGAAGAGUGGCGAACGGGUGAGGAACACGUAAGAAUCUGCCCCUCGGUCGGGGACAACUCUUGGAAACGAGAGCUAAUACCCGAUACGCUGUGGAGUGAAAGAAUUUCGCCGAGGGAUGAUCUUGCGUCUGAUUAGCUAGUUGGUGUGGUAAUGGCACACCAAGGCGACGAUCAGUAGCUGGUCUGAGAGGAUGAACAGCCACAUUGGAACUGAGACACGGUCCAAACUCCUACGGGAGGCAGCAGUGGGGAAUUUUCCGCAAUGGACGAAAGUCUGACGGAGCGACGCUGCGUGAAGGAUGACGGCCUGCGGGUUGUAAACUUCUUUUCUCGAAGAAGAAGCUCUGACGGUAUUCGAGGAAUAAGCAUCGGCUAACUCCGUGCCAGCAGCCGCGGUAAUACGGAGGAUGCAAGUGUUAUUCGGAAUGAUUGGGCGUAAAGCGUCUGUAGGCUGUAUAGAAAGUCUUUUGUUAAAUGCCUCGGCUCAACCGAGAUCCAGCAAAGGAAACUUCUAUACUUGAGGGAAGUAGAGGUACAGGGAAUUCCCGGUGGAGCGGUGAAAUGCGUAGAUAUCGGGAGGAACACCAAUAUGGCGAAGGCACUGUACUGGGCUUUACCUGACGCUCAGAGACGAAAGCUAAAGGAGUGAUUAGGAUUAGAUACCCUAGUAAUUUUAGCCGUAAACGAUGGAAACUCACUGCCGAGCGAAAUACAACGAGCGGUGGUCAAGCUAACGCGUGAAGUUUCCCGCCUGGGGAUUACGCUUGCAAAAGUGAAACUCAAAGGAAUUGACG
RNAcentral lists this ribosomal RNA (862 nucleotides) under marine metagenome. RNAcentral describes it as "bacterial SSU rRNA". It matches the Rfam family "Bacterial small subunit ribosomal RNA", at positions 22 to 915 of the family's 1533-position model. The record is from RNAcentral.